UAGAGAAUCUUCCACAAUGGACGAAAGUCUGAUGGAGCAACGCCGCGUGUGUGAUGAAGGGUUUCGGCUCGUAAAACACUGUUGUAAGAGAAGAAUGACAUUGAGAGUAACUGUUCAAUGUGUGACGGUAUCCUACCAGAAAGGAACGGCUAAAUACGUGCCAG
This 164-nucleotide ribosomal RNA is filed under the name uncultured bacterium. RNAcentral's name for it is "partial 16S ribosomal RNA". It matches the Rfam family "Bacterial small subunit ribosomal RNA", at positions 355 to 511 of the family's 1533-position model. The record is from RNAcentral.